GUAGGGCGCAAGCGUUAUCCGGAAUUAUUGGGCGUAAAGAGCUCGUAGGCGGUUUGUCGCGUCUGCCGUGAAAGUCCGGGGCUCAACUCCGGAUCUGCGGUGGGUACGGGCAGACUAGAGUGAUGUAGGGGAGACUGGAAUUCCUGGUGUAGCGGUGAAAUGCGCAGAUAUCAGGAGGAACACCGAUGGCGAAGGCAGGUCUCUGGGCAUUAACUGACGCUGAGGAGCGAAAGCGUGGGGGGCGAACGGG
Molecule: ribosomal RNA, 250 nt
Filed under: uncultured bacterium
Lineage: Bacteria
Description: partial 16S ribosomal RNA
Rfam family: Bacterial small subunit ribosomal RNA
Source: RNAcentral